AUUUAAAUAGUUUAAUUAAAACAUAAUAUUGAAGAUAUUAAAUUAAUAUAUAAUUAUUUUUAAAUA
This 66-nucleotide transfer RNA is filed under the name Muscidifurax raptorellus. RNAcentral describes it as "tRNA-Phe". Lineage: Eukaryota; Metazoa; Arthropoda; Insecta; Hymenoptera; Pteromalidae. The record is from RNAcentral.